CUACGGGCGGCAGCCGUGGGGAAUAUUGCACAAUGGGCGCAAGCCUGAUGCCGCCAUGCCGCGUGUGUGAAGAAGGCCUUCGGGUUGUAAAGCACUUUCAGCGGGGAGGAAGGCGGUGAGGUUAAUAACCUCAUCGAUUGACGUUACCCGCAGAAGAAGCACCGGCUAACUCCGUGCCAGCAGCCGCGGUAAUACGGAGGGUGCAAGCGUUAAUCGGAAUUACUGGGCGUAAAGCGCACGCAGGCGGUCUGUCAAGUCGGAUGUGAAAUCCCCGGGCUCAACCUGGGAACUGCAUUCGAAACUGGCAGGCUAGAGUCUUGUAGAGGGGGGUAGAAUUCCAGGUGUAGCGGUGAAAUGCGUAGAGAUCUGGAGGAAUACCGGUGGCGAAGGCGGCCCCCUGGACAAAGACUGACGCUCAGGUGCGAAAGCGUGGGGAGCAAACAGGAUUAGAUACCCGAGUAGUC
RNAcentral lists this ribosomal RNA (464 nucleotides) under uncultured Klebsiella sp. Its description in RNAcentral is "bacterial SSU rRNA". It matches the Rfam family "Bacterial small subunit ribosomal RNA", at positions 339 to 795 of the family's 1533-position model. The record is from RNAcentral. Lineage: Bacteria; Pseudomonadati; Pseudomonadota; Gammaproteobacteria; Enterobacterales; Enterobacteriaceae.